GUGGUAGUAGCUCAGCUGGUUAGAGCGUCGGAUUGUGGCUCCGAAGGUCGGGGGUUCAAAUCCCCUCUAUCACCC
This 75-nucleotide transfer RNA is filed under the name Pirellula sp. SH-Sr6A. RNAcentral's name for it is "tRNA-His". It matches the Rfam family "tRNA". From Rfam's summary of the family: Transfer RNA (tRNA) molecules are approximately 80 nucleotides in length. Their secondary structure includes four short double-helical elements and three loops (D, anti-codon, and T loops). Further hydrogen bonds mediate the characteristic L-shaped molecular structure. tRNAs have two regions of fundamental functional importance: the anti-codon, which is responsible for specific mRNA codon recognition, and the 3' end, to which the tRNAs corresponding amino acid is attached (by aminoacyl-tRNA synthetases). tRNAs cope with the degeneracy of the genetic code in two manners: having more than one tRNA (with a specific anti-codon) for a particular amino acid; and 'wobble' base-pairing, i.e. permitting non-standard base-pairing at the 3rd anti-codon position. The record is from RNAcentral. Lineage: Bacteria; Pseudomonadati; Planctomycetota; Planctomycetia; Pirellulales; Pirellulaceae.